RNAcentral lists this ribosomal RNA (515 nucleotides) under uncultured bacterium. Its description in RNAcentral is "bacterial SSU rRNA". It matches the Rfam family "Bacterial small subunit ribosomal RNA", at positions 28 to 525 of the family's 1533-position model. The record is from RNAcentral.
GAUGAACGCUGGCGGCGUGCCUAAUACAUGCAAGUCGAGCGAACAGAUAAGGAGCUUGCUCCUUUGACGUUAGCGGCGGACGGGUGAGUAACACGUGGGUAACCUACCUAUAAGACUGGAAUAACUCCGGGAAACCGGGGCUAAUGCCGGAUAAUAUUUAGAACCGCAUGGUUCUAAAGUGAAAGAUGGUUUUACUAUCACUUAUAGAUGGACCCGCGCCGUAUUAGCUAGUUGGUGGGGUAAUGGCUUACCAAGGCAACGAUACGUAGCCGACCUGAGAGGGUGAUCGGCCACACUGGAACUGAGACACGGUCCAGACUCCUACGGGAGGCAGCAGUAGGGAAUCUUCCGCAAUGGGCGAAAGCCUGACGGAGCAACGCCGCGUGAGUGAUGAAGGUCUUCGGAUCGUAAAACUCUGUUAUUAGGGAAGAACAAAUGUGUAAGUAACUGUGCACGUCUUGACGGUACCUAAUCAGAAAGCCACGGCUAACUACGUGCCAGCAGCCGCGGUAAUA